Long non-coding RNA from Pseudopipra pipra, 4917 nucleotides. RefSeq lists it as uncharacterized. Lineage: Eukaryota; Metazoa; Chordata; Aves; Passeriformes; Pipridae. The record is from RefSeq and is a predicted model, not a curated record. The transcript is spliced from 3 exons.
GGUAGCAAAAUGACCUGCAGCUGAGCACAUCAGCAGUAGCUGUUAAUUGCAAGAACAGGAGGUCAAGACGUAGUGCAAAGUGGCAGCUUUGUAGCAAAAGCAGCUGGCAGGGAAGAGUGAAAUGAAAGGGAAUAAAUGACUGGUUGCUGAAUGGAAUACAGAGAGAAACAUGCACAGGGGGUUUGAGUCACUGACUGCUUAAUGCUCUUUCUUGCAAGUGGCCAUAUGUGACCUCUGUUUUCUCAGUGUGAAUCAGAGUAACAGUAGUUUUUAGUCAGCACAAGACACAAAGUUAUUUAGAUGCUAAAAGGGUUACUUAGCUAUAUGAAAAGGGAGACUGUAAGUGCCCUGAAAAGACCUCAAAGAGCUUUUUCCUCCCUCUUUUCUUGAAAGAAAAAGGAAUUAAUAUUACUCAAAAUACAAGAAGGGUUCUCUUGUUUGUUACCCUUUUGGGGGACUGUUUUAAUCUAAGUGCCCAGGACACUUAUAGAGAAAAUUCUAGUGAUGAAGACCUGCCUCUCUUCUUCUUUUUUCCCCUCUUUGAAGUUCCUGGCAACUCAUCCUGAUUUGCUUUAUGUAGCAAGAGGCUAAAGUUUUCAGAAGAGUCUAACAAUAUAAAAUGCCUUGUUUAAAUUCCCAAAUCAAGAAGCUUUCACAGGGCUCAGUUUUCAGAAAGCUGUUAACACAAAGUAAUGUGGGUUUAACACUUGCAAAUGUUGACUAGUCCCCGUAGGGCCAACCAAUUUCAGCUAUUCACACUCUGCAGAUAACCCCAUUAUAGGGCUAAAAUUACCAUCUUUGUGAUAGAACAAAAGAACAAAACUUUGCAAGGACCUCUGAGGAUCCCAUUGAUAAUAUCACUGAGGGAUCUGUAUUAUAUAGAAACCAAAAGGAUCUAUUAUGAAGUAAAUUACUAUAUGAAUAAAGAUACAAAGUAGGUGGCUAAAAACUUUCUAUAAUUUGGGGAAAAUGAAAGCUGAUAUUCUUCUCUUAACUGGCAGAUAUUAGGAGUACUGCUGCAAUGAUACGGCAUGCCCAGAUGUGCCCCGUUGGGCAAGAAGGCCAAAGGCACCUGGGCUGUCCCAGCCAUGGUGUGGCAUCAGGACCAGGGCAGUGCCCGUCCCUGUGUUGGGACUUCUGAGGCCACACCUUGAAUUCUGUGUCCAGUUCUGGGCCCCUCACAACAAGAAAGACAUUGAGGCGCUUGAGUGUGUCCAGAAAAGGGCAACAGAGCUGCUCAAGGGUUUGGAGCACAAGUCUGAUAAAGAGAGGCUGAGGGAGCUGGGGGAGCUCAGCCUGGAGAAGAGUGGGCUCAGGGAAGACCUUAUUGCUCUCUACAACUGCCUGAAGGGAGGUUGUAAUGGGAUGAGUGUUUCUUGCCCCAAGUAGCAAGUGACAGGACAAGAGAAUAUGGACUCAAGUUGUGCCAGGAGAGGAUUAGAUGGGAUAUUGGGAUAAAUGUCUUCCCCCAAAGGGUUGUCAAGCUAUGUCAGAGCCUGCCCAGGGCAGUGUUAGUCACCAUCCCUGGAGGGAUUUAAAAGGCCUGUAGAUGUGGCACUCAGGGACAUGGUUUAGUGCUGGGCUUGACAGUGCUGGGUUAGUGGCUGGACUUGAUAAUCUCAAAGGUCUGUUCCAGCCUAAGUGAUUGUAUGAUUCUGUGAUUAACCCUAAUGGGAUACGAGGUCAGAAAAACACAGAAAAGAAGACAACAUUCCUUAUUUCAUUUAUGCUGAAUUUCUCAAAUAAUGCUGAAGCACUGAAAUAAGAGUGGCAUGAGGUAACAAUCUCACUAAGAAUGUUAAUAUGGGGAAGAAGCUUUGAUUGUUUCUGAUCUCUCUUGAAGUUCAUUCUUAUUUCCUGUCCAAGAAUAAACACCAAGAAAAUUACUGCAAAUAGCCAAAUUUUAAAGCAAAUUAGCUUUUCAAGCAUGCGAUAAGAUGUCGAGUAGGGUUAUCAACCAAUUGGGUAGUUGAUAAUGAGAACAGCUGGCUAAAAAUGAAAACUAGCUUCUAAUGGUUUUCAUUGGAGCAAAGUGUCCUGGCACUGAAAAUCCAAUUAGACCACAAAGGGGAUUUAGAAUGAGGUACGACAGCACUGAGCCACAGCAGUGCUCUGGAAAUGUGAUCUAAAAUGCAUAAAGAAAGAAAAGUUGCUUUGAAUGGGCUUAUUAAAAGGAGGAGUGGAAGACUGCUUCUCCUAAAUAUGUUGGAUUUUGAAGUCCGUGUCAGUAAGAGUUUAAGUGCUAGAGCUCUAAUCCGGAUGAAGGGACUUUUAUCAAGAAUGUGACAGCUAUGUUGGUUGUCCCGGAGCCAGAUGCAUAAAACAGCUAAGUCAGUCUUUGCAAACUAGUGAUGUGUCUGUAAGGAUCAGUUUUUUUGCUUCCUAAGUCACAUCCAAUAACCAAAAGUUUGGAGCCCUUGGCAACAUAUAAAAUACCAGCAUUCAUAUCUGUGCCUGAAGCUGACUUGAAGAAAAACCUGCUGGCUCUUGACAGGUUGUGCUAUAACCUGCUCUGAGUAAUGAAUAGGAGAGAAAAAUUUUGUGAAAUCAAGCUAGCUUGGCAUAAAUCUUUUAUUAUAAAGGAAGGAUCAGGGCUUCCUUGAGUGAGCUUUGCUAAUUUUCAGCACUUUUUCUCAAGGAGGAGUGCUUCUAAGUGUCAGAAACCUGUUAUCACCACACAACAUUAAUAGAGGGUGAGUGACUAAACUUUGUUGGAUGCAGCUUGGAGAUAGUAUUAUCUCCUGUCUUACAUAAACCCUCCAAUAAAAUAAAUAAAAGCCAGUCAGAUGAUGUACUCUGAUCAAUAAAAUAUGCUCUAGCAUGAAAAAAAAUUAAAACCUAAAGUUUUCAGUCUCCUACCCAUUUAACUAUAGAUACUAAUUUUGAUUAAAACAUUUGAUUUGGAGAAGCUAUUAACAGAAUAAGAAAUGAAUCAUUAAAAAUUAUUAAAUGUACUCAUAUGGAACAUCAACAAAUCUAUUCCAUAAAUGCCUAGACUCAAAACUAUGAUGAAUUGACUUCAUUGCAAUGCAGAUUUCAAAAGAGAAUGCCUUUUUCUCCUUGUUGACAAUAAAAGUAAGAUAAAUAAGUCAGUCAGAUUCUGGCUUUACCAUCUUAUAACGGUACAGAAUGUGGUCUUAUACAGAAAACACAUUGUUUCUUUUAGUCAUCAAGAAUCCAUUUCAGAGGUAGUUAUAAAAUGUUUACAAAAUUCCUGCAAAAAUUACACUAGGCACUUGUAAAUAAUAAGGUGUUUACUGCAAGUCCUUUGCCUCUUAUGUGUCCAUGAUUCUAUUCAGCAUCCUACUUUGCAGACCUUUCAGACAAGUAAGUACAUUGUAAGUUAUCUAUUGCAUAAGAAAUGUAUGCCACUCCCUCACAAGCAACACACACACAGAGGCACUUGCUUAUUUUCACCGGGCAAUAAAAACUCUUGGAGUAAAUUUCUGCUUUGGAUUAUUAUCAGAGUUUAUUCUAACUCAACGUUUUCCACUUCCACAGAAAUAUUUAAUAGUGACAUUUCCUGCCUUCUCCUGCUCAUCAGAUUUCUGCUGUCAGUAUACAAGAGGAGCUAUUCUACUUCCUAGUCCCCUCUUACUAAAGAAAUCAACAGAACUUAUAUGCCCGAUGAUUUCUACACAUUUCCAUAUAUCAGAAUAAUAUCAAGUCACAUUGAUAAAUCCCUUUUAGUAAUAGGUGAGGGCAUAAUUCUGCAUUAUUCUGUAGUUUCCAAUGUUUAUGAACUUGAAUUACCUUUUUUUUUUUUUUUCCUUCUCCCUUGAGGUGUGAGUGGCACAACUGAGGAAAGAGAGAUGGUCCAGACAAGCUGAGGUUUUUCUACUGAGGACUCAGGACAAACAACAGUUUGGAGCAUUAAAAUUAAGAGCUGAGCUUUUGGUUCAGAGGAUUUGUUGCCAAGGAGCCUCAACAGACUGGAAAAAAAUCACUUCCAGUGCAACGAGAACACCUCAGUGAGCUGGACUUCUUCCUGAAGACCUUGAAAAAAUGCCAGGAGGUACUUCCAAGCAAAAUGAUUGCAUUAAGGAUGCCUGCAGCUGAUUGUUGGAAGAUUUGGAACUAGGAUUGCAACCAUGUGUGUUUUUGUUGUGUUGACAUCUACUUUGAGAUUUAACUUUUUAAGGAAGAAAGAUAGCCCAUUUGAACCAUUUUGGCAAAAUCAAGUCUUCAGGACUUUUCUGCACUCUGCAAUGCGGUAUAGAUUAAUUUUACCUGUGUCAGGAAACCUUUACCACCACUGUUUUACUGAUUUUAUCUUGUUCUAGUUGUGUCUUUGGUUUUUUUACUAGGAUAGCAUAAAUCCUGCAUAUGUUUUCCAGUAAUCUGCCUAUAUGAAUUCUUCUUAUUUUAAUAAAAACUCCAUAUAUCAUCAGCUUAAGCCACUGAUGCUUCAAGAGUCCUGUAAUAUUUACCUUUCAGGAUAUUCUUCAGUUUUCUAAGUGAACUGUUUUCUCUCUGAGUGAUAACUGAGGCUUUCACUCCCUGGUAAUGUAACUGGAUUUACCUUUGCAGUUGAGAGCACCUGAACUGGCUAUAUUUUGUAAGCUUGGACAAUUUCCUACACAUCUUGUAAGGAAUCUUAAUUCUCACUUUGUUAGCUUAGGGGCUUUUUCUCCCUUUUAGUUUAUUGGGGUUUGCUUGUUAAUUUUCAGUUAAAAUCCAUAUUUUUGAUACUUGAAACCUUUUGCAGGAAGGCUAAAAAGUCAAAAUUUUUAAAGCAUUUUAAGUAACCAUUAAUAUUAAAAUAUCUCACAACAUAAAGAAUAAAGAAAUGUAGCAGUUGGUCAGGUCUAGGUAAUAAAACUGACUUCAGGGAUACUUCAGAAAAGUGUGUGUUGAAAAGGUUAUUUCUCUGUAUAUAACUUUGUUUCAGAUAUGUGUACUACUGUGGUUUCCUUU